UUUCUGUAAAGCUUUACGUACAAGUAAGCCCCAACUAUAAAAGGUAAUACGGAUAUUCAUUCAUUGUUUCAUAAUUUAUUUCAAUUUUGUGGUGGGAAAAUUGUCCUCGCCUAGCAAAUUUAUCGUGGGCAUAUUUUUGCGUGUGUCUUGGUGUUAUGUACUCAGGUGAAUAUAAUGUUUUUUAUGUUACUCUGAGUGUGUAUCCACACCGGAUAGCCUAAACACGGUGGGAAUCGAACCCGCGACCUUUGGGAUACUAGUCCAAUGCUCUGCCAACUGAGCUACGAGGUCAAGUCGGUUCGAGUGUGUGGUAUUUCGGAACUAAGUCUAGUACCUUCGAUACCAAUGUGUUCUUAUGGUCAUGAUAUUUUUUGUGCUGUCUCGUCCCCAGGCGCUAUAAAAAGAUUUCAGAUACAAGUCACUAUAUAAAAGGUUGACAUGAAGUAUUGCGUCACAUUAUAGUCGCGCAAAGGGGAAUGGGAUAUGAGCGUUCUGGUUAGCGCCUGGCCGAUCUUGUAUAAUAGCUGUCGAACAUAAAACAAGUAAACAGUAGAUCUAAAUAUAAAUGCCUUCAUGUACAUCACCAGAAAGAAAUAAAGCUAUCCUUGCCUGAAUUAUUCAAAAUAUUGUCGAUCGUUUGCAUCGUGAAAAUAAAACAUACUGCAUGUAAAUAAGCUCGUAACUGAAAUCCUGAGACGAACCUUGCGAACGCAAUACAAAAUAAAGUUUCAUCGCUCCUUUGUUUAAAAAACUUCAUGUAGCUGUAAAUUUUUAAAAUAAAUUCCUCAUUGUCAUUUUUCCAUACCUUGUACAGUUAUUAUAUUAUAUUCAAGUGUUGACAUCUCGGAAUCAUUUAAAGGGUGAAAUUAUAUCAGAUAUCAUCUGACUGUAAUCACAUGUUUAAUUGAACAAAUUGAAAUGUUAUUUUCUCAGAAAAAUGGCGAAAAAAGCCCACAAACUGUCGAAAACCCACGAUUUGCAAGAAACAGACGAAUUUUGCAAGAAUCGGCACAAGAUCUCCCAGGCGCUCCUCAAUUGUCGCUGCCUCAAGCCCAUAAACCCCUGCGCUUGUUGGUCGCGAUGCACUACUUCAUGUAAACAUUUCAUAUAGACCCAUUGCACAUGACGUCACAGCGCCGGUGACGAUGCAUCUGGAGGACAAAUUAGCAAUCUAUGCAUAAUAUAACUUUUGUAAACAAAGCAAAUUUUGUAAAAGUUUAUAAUAAUUUUGUAUUAAAAUGGUUAAUUUUUGCGCUGUAUGUGGUUGUUGUACCCGAACGGAUAUUGUUUAUACGGAGCAUCUGGAGGACACUCUAAGGAUUUGUGACGUCAGUGCAAUGGGUCUAUAGUGACUCGCAUGAAAUUUUUUACCAGCGUCUGGGGACGUGGCAGCCUUUUGUGUGUUUUGAUGUUAUGUACUCAGGUGAAUAUAAUGUUUUUGAUGUUACUCUGAGGGUUCACCGCAGGCUGAAAAGUUAGCCUGACCACGGUGGGAAUCGAUUAAUCGAACCCGCGACCGUUGGGAUACUAGUUCCGAAAUACCACACACUCGAACCGACUUGACCUCGUAGUUCAGUUGGCAUAGCAUUGGACUAUAGUAUUCCAAAGGUCGCGGGUUUGAUUCCCACCGUGGUCAGGCUAACUUUUCAACCUGCCCGGUGUGGAUAUACACUUAGAGUAACAACAAAAACAUUAUAUUCACCUGAGUACACAACAUGAAAACACACAAAAAUAUAAAAACCCAGAUUUCGUCAGCCUGUCUGUCGUACUGCAGUAGAGUAAAAAUAAAAGCAAGAUAGCAGACUUAAACGUUAACGACAAAGCAUUCAAGACCACAAUUACUUGUCGUAAUCAGGAAAUUCUUGUAUGAAACAUGGCCGAAAAUGAAAUUUCUUCCAUGAAGUGUGCUUUGAUGGCAAAU
RNAcentral lists this long non-coding RNA (1921 nucleotides) under Paramuricea clavata. The stretch from base 1562 to 1636 matches the Rfam family "tRNA". Lineage: Eukaryota; Metazoa; Cnidaria; Anthozoa; Malacalcyonacea; Plexauridae. The record is from RNAcentral.